This 405-nucleotide ribosomal RNA is filed under the name uncultured prokaryote. Its description in RNAcentral is "bacterial SSU rRNA". It matches the Rfam family "Bacterial small subunit ribosomal RNA", at positions 355 to 774 of the family's 1533-position model. The record is from RNAcentral.
UGGGGAAUAUUGGGCAAUGGGGGCAACCCUGACCCAGCAACGCCGCGUGAGGGAAGAAGGUCUUCGGAUUGUAAACCACUGUCCUUGGGGACGAAAAAAAUGACGGUACCCAAGGAGGAAGCUCCGGCUAACUACGUGCCAGCAGCCGCGGUAAUACGUAGGGAGCAAGCGUUGUCCGGAAUUACUGGGUGUAAAGGGUGCGUAGGCGGUUUGUUAAGUCAGAUGUGAAAUACCCGGGCUCAACCCGGGGGGUGCAUCUGAAACUGGCAGACUUGAGUGCAGGAGAGGAAAGCGGAAUUCCUAGUGUAGCGGUGAAAUGCGUAGAUAUUAGGAGGAACACCAGUGGCGAAGGCGGCUUUCUGGACUGUAACUGACGCUGAGGCACGAAAGCGUGGGGAGCAAACA